Molecule: ribosomal RNA, 441 nt
Filed under: uncultured bacterium
Lineage: Bacteria
Description: bacterial SSU rRNA
Rfam family: Bacterial small subunit ribosomal RNA
Source: RNAcentral
CUACGGGAGGCAGCAGUCGGGAAUUUUGCGCAAUGGACGAAAGUCUGACGCAGCAACGCCGCGUGAGGGAUGACGGCCUUCGGGUUGUAAACCUCUUUUGUCAGGGACGAUGAUGACGGUACCUGACGAAUAAGCCACGGCUAACUACGUGCCAGCAGCCGCGGUAAUACGUAGGUGGCAAGCGUUGUCCGGAUUUACUGGGCGUAAAGAGCGCGCAGGCGGUCGUUCAAGUCGCGUGUGAAAGCCCCCGGCUCAACUGGGGAGGGUCACGCGAUACUGAUCGACUCGAAGGCAGGAGAGGGUAGUGGAAUUCCCGGUGUAGUGGUGAAAUGCGUAGAUAUCGGGAGGAACACCAGUGGCGAAGGCGACUACCUGGCCUGUUCUUGACGCUGAGGCGCGAAAGCUAGGGGAGCAAACGGGAUUAGAUACCCGCGUAGUCCG